This 456-nucleotide ribosomal RNA is filed under the name uncultured bacterium. RNAcentral describes it as "bacterial SSU rRNA". It matches the Rfam family "Bacterial small subunit ribosomal RNA", at positions 923 to 1379 of the family's 1533-position model. The record is from RNAcentral.
GCACAAGCGGUGGAGCAUGUGGUUUAAUUCGAUGAUACGCGAGGAACCUUACCCGGGCUUGAAAUGUACUUGACCGGUCUGGAAACAGACCUUCUAGCAAUAGCAAGUAUGUAGGUGCUGCAUGGUUGUCGUCAGCUCGUGCCGUGAGGUGUCGGCUUAAGUGCCAUAACGAGCGCAACCUACAUUGUUAGUUACUAACGGGUCAAGCUGAGGACUCUGACAAGACUGCCAGCGUAAGCUGCGAGGAAGGUGUGGAUGACGUCAAAUCAGCACGGCCCUUACGUCCGGGGCGACACACGUGUUACAAUGGAUGGUACAGAGGGUUGCUACCUGGUGACAGGAUGCUAAUCUCGAAAGCCAUUCCCAGUUCGGAUUGGAGUCUGCAACUCGACUCCAUGAAGCUGGAUUCGCUAGUAAUCGCGCAUCAGCCAUGGCGCGGUGAAUACGUUCCCGGGC